CAAGGUCCUCUCCGUGAAAGAACGAUGACCGAAACGAGAGAGACAGGGAACGAGAGAGUGAGGGUAGAACAACCGGGAAGAGACGAGAGGAGAGAAAGAAAGAAAAGAGCGAGAGAAAAAGGGAGACGGAGAAAGAAAUAAGCUUACAGGGAGGAGGCAGGGACGAAGGUUCCCACAAAAGACGAGCAAACGCUAUCAGGCCGAUCUCAGAGCUCACGUACCUACACACUUUGUUCCCCUGCAGAGGCUGAGGAAAACCGCCAGGGAUCGACUCACUGGGUCGGAUGUCCUCGAGCAACGAUAUCACUGACAACGUCACAAGGCGAGCAACUCAACGGCACAUCACCAUCAGUGUCCAUCACACGCGUAGCCGUGCCGUUCGUUCUACUUACUGGGAGUAUCCGAACUGGGUGAAGAAGAAAAAAGAAAAAAAAAAGAAAAAAGAAAAAAAAAUGAAACGGCCACGAGGCUCGUCACGGGUAUCGCGAGAGGCGGUUUCGAGAGCGGAGCACACCAGGCCGGAGUGCGAUAACGAAUUUAAACGUAACAACGAUGACGAGCACGACGACGAGAAUACCGGCAACCACGCGCGUUCCUUCUUUUCGCGACGCCACGAAAGAAUCUCGCGUUUUACGGGGCAACCGGAGUGUGUCCCGUGGAGCUAGCCGCCGAUUCCCGGCGCGGGAGGAUGCAAGGACAAAGAGACGAAAAAACGUCUGGUCGAAGCAGAGGGGGUAGCCCUCUAGCGAGAGAGAGGGAGAUACGGCGAGGGAAGGAGAACAGAGAGGGUAAGAAGAAGGAAAGAGAGCAGCGACCAGCCGGCCGAAGAAAGAACGAGCUGUGGUCGGAGGGAACGAGAGAAACGAAGACGGCUUGAGAGAGAGAAAAAAAAUGUUGGAGAGGAGAGAAAGAGAAAGAGAGAGAGAGAGACGAGAUAGCCAGUGACACACGGAUGCAGCGCGGCGUAACGAUAUCGAGUGGAGGUCCCCGCGGAAUGCACCGUGGCGACGUACCGUGGAGAGAAAGACCACACAGAGUGUACCGAUUGGACGGAAACGAGGCGAGGAGGAAGAGGCAGGGAAAUGGAACGACACUCGGAUGUAGAGUCAAGUAUGCGCGAACUUGGUGUAAACGGGCGAGACUAAGCGCGUCCCGGUGAGCAGGCGAAAUUGGCGCGUCUAGGUGCGGGAACAAGCACUGAGCGAUACUGAACCAGUAGAAGGGAAAGAAGAAUAGGCACGGGAGAAGCGAUAUGCGGACGAGACGGCGCGGUGCAACGAUAUCGAGUGGAGAUCCCCGCGGAAUGCAUCGUGGCCGGCGCGACGACGAGAACGCGAGAGGGAGAGAAACGGAGAGAAAAAGAAAGGGAAUAUUGGGAGAGUGAGCGAGAGAGAGAGAGAGAGAGAGAGAGAGAGAGAAGGAAGGGAAAAAGGAGAGAGAGAGAGAGAGAAAAAGGCAGGGACGCCCUAGAGAGGCAAGUAUGCGCGCGAAGAGAGACCUUCGUGUAUACCUUGUGUCGUAUACUCAGACUACCGAGUCACUCGCUUGCCGGAUACACACAAUGACGGAAGAGAGUAGCGUACCAGCAGUCGACGACGGCGUCGGCGGCGGCGCUCUGCAGUGCGUCGGCCCGCUGACCUUGACACUGACAUUGACUGAGCGAGCGACUGGAAGAGAGAGAGGCAAAUAAAAACAGGCAGAACAGAAGACGAAAGAGAGACGUAUCGUUCGAUAGUAUAUACGCGCGAUUAGGCGAAACUAAACGCGAUACGAAAUAGUGCCCAACCACCCAACAGUACAAGUACCGUUCGCUUCCUCUGCUUUCUUUGCUCCCUAGCUCUCCUCGGUUGACCGCAUCAACGAUCAACCGGGUAACGAGACUUCGUCGAUCGUUUACGAUGGGGUAUUCCAGACCUCGAAACAGGUUUUCAGAGGUGCACAGGCCUGCUCCUCGUUGCACCUGUGCCCGGGACAAGGAGAUCCAACGGGCCAACUUAGCAAGAGAGGGGAUCGAACGAUCUUUGGAUUGGGGAGCGACGAGACGCGUAGGGGAAUAGAGACAGAGAGAAGUAGGUGAAAGAAGGAUGAAAAGAGUAGAAAAGACGAUGGGAAAAGGAGAGAAGGGAACGGCGACGUUGAAGCCACAAACGAAAGGAAGAGAGAAAGAGGGAACUAGGCGAGACGUCGAAGAAAAGGAGAACUGACUUUCGCUUUCUGUGCGCGACGCAGCCUAGCCGUGGAGCGUCGAUCAAUAGCGCCGCGACGGUUGCACACAUACACACGUACAUACACACAUAUAUAUACAUGCGUGCCUUUUACAAACCCUCUCUAUCCCGACUGGUCGCGUGAUCUGUCUCUCUUUUGCCCUAUCUGUUCAUCCGUGUCUGUAUAUUAUCCCCUCCAACAUUCACUAUUCUGCACGAGGAGUCGCGUGUGUGAGGGUGGAAUUAUUGGGAUCAUGCUUCGUUGGCCAAGCAAGGGGUGCGAAGGAGAGACAGAGAGAGAAUCAAGGACCUCGAGCUACCGAUCAGCAACGCCCCACGUUCCCUCUCCUUCCUUCGGCCACGGUUGCACAGUUUCGCAUGGCCCUCUCACACCCUCUUUUUCUGCGGUCUCGCGCGCGCAUUUGCCCGCUUAUCGAGCAAUACAGACAAAAUCGGCACGAAGAAGGUAGAACGGACAGAGACAACGUACAGAGAGAUGGUACAGAACGCGAGCGCGUGUCGCGUAAAGGGCUUUUUACACCGCUCGAAAUGUGGAACUCGUGUUGGCCACGCAUUCGACGCAUAAAGUCACUUUAACGCGUCAUGUCGGAAAUUGCCGCGCGAGUUUACGAGCUUGUAAAGAGUCCCCGGUACUUCCUAGAAUACGUGCGAUCCCCCGACUUACGGGGAUAUAGCCUGAUUCCUCUUGGUUAUUCGUGUCCGGCUUGCACGACUAUAAAUUUUCCUAUGCCAUCCUGGAAAAAAUACUCGGUCCCUCUUUCUUUAUAUAUCUAUCUUUCUCUCUCUCUUGUUGCCACUGCAAGAUACCGCGAGCUUUAUGUCAGACCUUUAAUCUACCUUUAUUAAGCGCGCUGUCUCCUCCAUUUGUAAGGCACUUGCUCCCAGUCGUAAACCACGUGCUCGCAAAGAUCUUAAACGCGUCUGAUGUGUCUCGUGAAAUCAAUUAAGAGAAAAUAAACCGGUGCACCGUAAACAAGUAUUCCAACGAGUAGCUCGUUUGUUGCUAUAUUUAGCGGUAACGUUAUAAAUAUACUUUUAACCAGUCUUCGUGCUUUUAAACAUAACGUUUUCAUUCAUAUCAAUAGAGAAAUAUAUAGAAAUUAUAUCUCGUAUCAAGGAUAUCAAGAUCAAAAUAACAAAAUAUUUAGACUUACCUGGCUUACCGAUGCAGCGAGAUGUUUCAAACUAUCCGCAUAAUUUUUUAACACUGUGUCCGUUGUCAUACAGCUCACCCGAAACUCGUAAAACAUAUCCAGUUUGUACACGCAUCUCUGGCAAAUAUUUUUGGGCAAAGCAUCCUCUUUCGUUAUCUGUAAUAGAUGUAAAUAUUUUAUUAUAAAAAAUAUGUGCAAUUUUGGAAAUAAAUAAUAUAGAAAUAAUAUAAUUAUGUAAUAAAAUAAACAUAAAAUUUAUUUAAAAA
Apis cerana (Asiatic honeybee) is the source of this 3645-nucleotide long non-coding RNA. RefSeq lists it as uncharacterized. The record is from RefSeq and is a predicted model, not a curated record. NCBI's taxonomy places the organism in Eukaryota, Metazoa, Arthropoda, Insecta, Hymenoptera, Apidae.